Symphalangus syndactylus (siamang) is the source of this 2983-nucleotide long non-coding RNA. RefSeq lists it as uncharacterized. The record is from RefSeq and is a predicted model, not a curated record. NCBI's taxonomy places the organism in Eukaryota, Metazoa, Chordata, Mammalia, Primates, Hylobatidae.
AUGUGCCUGUUUGUUUCAGACAGAGUCUCACACUGUCACCAGGCUGGAGUGCAGUGGCACGAUCUCGGCUCACUGCAACCUCCGCCUCCCAAGUUCGAGCUCUUCUGCCUCAGCCUCCCGAGUAGCUGGGACUACAGGCGCAAGCCAUCAUGACCAGCUAAUUUUUGUAUUCUUAGUAGAGACGGGGUUUCACCAUGUUGGUGAGGAUGGUCUCGAUCUCUUGACCUCAUGAUCCACCCACCUUGGCUUCCCAAAGUGCUGGCAUGAGCCACCGUGCCUGGCUAACAUGCCUGUUUUUAAAGGCCAUGUAGUAUUCCAUUAUAUUUCCAUUGUUUAAUUGAUUUAACCAUGCCCCUAGUUCUGAGCCAAUAAUGCUUCAAUAGAACUUUCUAGAAAAUAUAUCUUUGCACAAUGCAGGAACAUUUUGUAAGUGAAAAUGUUGAGUUGGAAAGUAUGAACAAUUCUAAUUGUAAUAUAUUUGUUAAAUUGCUCCCUGCCCCCAUCCUCUCCACAGUGUACAUCCUGAAAACAGAAAUGGGGUUUUCACUCACAUUUCAAAGGGGAGCAAGUAAUGAGUUUGCUGUAAUUGAAUACAUACAGCAAUAAGAGCCAUGGGAUGGGGAUGGGGGGUUUGAUCAGCAAUGUUUUCAUAAGUCCCUUGCAGGGAGCCCCCUGGACCAGCAUUGCAUGGACAUUGCUUUGGGUCUUCUGGACUUUUUUUCCCCCGUCAAAACCAGAGAAAAUGUCCAGGCACAUGGCCCAUACCUGUAAUCCCAGCACUUUGGGAGGCCGAGGCAGGUGGAUCAAAUGAGGUCAGGAGUUCAAGACCAGCCUGGCCAACAUGGCGAAACCCUAUCUCCACUAAAAAUACAAAAAUUAGGCAGGCAUGGUGGUGGGCGCCUGCAAUCCCAGCUACUUGGGAAGCUGACACAGGAGAAUUGUUUGAACCCAGGAGGUAGAGGUUGCAGUGAGCCGAGAUUGCACCAUUGCACUCCAGCCUGGGCAACAGAGUGAGACUCCAUCUAACAAACAAACAACAACAACAACAACAGAUUUGGAGGGAAAGGACUUUCAGCUGCCCUGAAGAUGCAUCAGGCAUUGAUCUGCUCUGCAGACCAGUUUUUACAAUAUCUAAUGGUACUGAAUGUAUGAGCCUGUCAUUCACCCCAGAGAUGAAUCUCAACAAAACAAAAGGAAAAAAAAUUUUUACUUGUAGAAAGUAACACCUUACACAGCUCACUGGUCCCUACAGAAGUGGACAGAGGUGACUGUAACACAACUCCAGCUUUCUAACUAGCCAAGCAGCUUCUAAAAAGCCAAACCUGAGACCAAAAUGGGUACAAGCUGCAACAGGGAGAAGAAAACUCAAACGGGAAGAGAGAACCAUCCCCACAUGAUUUCGCCACCUCCUGGCCUUGCAUAUUUCUUUAGCCAAGAUUCCAUGGCCCAUGGCUAUAAUCAUUCUUUUGAAAAUGUGUUAACUUCAACUCCUCUGUCUUCUCUUCCUCCAAGCACUUGGCUGGCCAACCUGUGCUCCUGGGAGGCUGUCUCCUCUGCCCAGCCCACCUGUGGGGUGGAGGGCUGCACAGACAGCAAUUCCAGAAGAAAGUGACUAGAUCCAGAAGGCAGCCAGAGAGGAUGCUACCUGGCCCAGUUUGGGUCACGUGUGCUUCCCUAAAAGCCGUGGUCAAAGUGACUCUGAUUGGCAAGCCUAGGCAACUGGCCUAACCCUUGUAGUGGGAAAGGUGAGGGCCAUCCUCUCCAGAUCCGGUUCCAGAAAGGAAAAGGUGAGACCUGACAGAAAUGACUAAUUGUCUUCUGAGGCCUAAGGGACGUCUGCCAUUCUUUUUAUCCACCCAGUACUUUUGAACAUUUAUUCCUUGUGAGUCUCUAUUUACCACCUGUGGAAGCCAGAUCUUGUCCCCAGCCUCCCUUGCAGCUACAGCACAGGCAUGUGACAUACAUGUUGCCAACCAGAUACAAUGGCAGAUGGUGGAUCUGGAAGCUGGUGGCCCAAUGAAGGAGGCGAGCUGCAAAAUCCAUCCUGGCAACCGUGAGGGAAAUGGGCCAGGCCCCUGCUGACUGCGUGUGAAGAGUGGCAAGAAAGAAGACUUGGACUUGGCUUAAGUUACUUUCAAUUCAUUUCACUUCCAAAUCAGAAAACAAGCCAUAAAAAAGGACACAAGUUGGUGGACAUGGCUCCCCAUGGCUGCAUUAGUUUAUUAUGAAAUGGUACCCAAAGUCUUUAAGUACAGGAGCCCAUGAGAAGUGAGGAAUCUUCUAGGGCAGAGAUGUUCAGAACCAGGGCUCACUGCCUUUUAUGCUAUUUUGGUGGAGGGAGAGGAGAGAACCACAUCAGCACUUAAGUGUCUCCUACAGAGCCACUAUGUCAUGUGAUCCCAGGGGCACAAUAAUACUGGGGUCUGUGGAGCCCCUGGAAAUUGUGCUAAGUGGCAACUCUGUUCUACCCUAUCCUUAUGCAAGGAAACUCUUGUUGCCCCAGUUACAGAUGUCUGUGUUCUUCUUCUUAUGACAUCAUUGACCUACUCAAGGCUUUAAGUACCACAGGCCUGGCCAUGCCCACCGCAGAGGGCAGCUUCAGCCAUCUCCAAGCUGGGAGGAGCAGCGGUACCUGCUGUACAGCUCAUGUCCAAAGGUGGUGGGGUCAGCUCACGCCCAGGCCAGCAGCAGCAGUAGCACUUCCACCAGACCAGCUCUGUGAGGACGUGGGUGUUGUUCAUUGUUGAAGUGUAAUUUACAAGGUCUAGUUCCUGGUUCUCCCGGAGAGUCUGUCUGAGAAAUCAACAUUCUCUAACCUGUUCCUUUUGGGUUAUCUAGCAAAAGGUGAGUGGUCCAGAACCAGAAUGGUGGCAGCUUCUUGAACACCAGCAACCCAGACUCCCUCUGUCUUCUGCUCUGCCAUCUUUGCACACAACAUCCAUCCUUAAGGAUGCCACCUGAUCCAUAAUGGCAGCUGAAGCUC